RNAcentral lists this transfer RNA (72 nucleotides) under Camelus bactrianus (Bactrian camel). It matches the Rfam family "tRNA". Rfam says of the family: Transfer RNA (tRNA) molecules are approximately 80 nucleotides in length. Their secondary structure includes four short double-helical elements and three loops (D, anti-codon, and T loops). Lineage: Eukaryota; Metazoa; Chordata; Mammalia; Artiodactyla; Camelidae. The record is from Rfam by way of RNAcentral. RNAcentral also lists the same sequence under 3 other names.
GAGGGUAUAGCUCAGUGGUAGAGCGCAUGCUUAGCAUGCCCAAGGUCCUGGGUUCAACCCCUAGAACCUCCU